Molecule: ribosomal RNA, 750 nt
Filed under: uncultured Mycobacterium sp.
Lineage: Bacteria; Bacillati; Actinomycetota; Actinomycetes; Mycobacteriales; Mycobacteriaceae
Description: bacterial SSU rRNA
Rfam family: Bacterial small subunit ribosomal RNA
Source: RNAcentral
GUUUGUCGCGUUGUCCGUGAAAUUCCCUGGCUUAACUGGGGGCGUGCGGGCGAUACGGGCAGACUGGAGUACUGCAGGGGAGACUGGAAUUCCUGGUGUAGCGGUGGAAUGCGCAGAUAUCAGGAGGAACACCGGUGGCGAAGGCGGGUCUCUGGGCAGUAACUGACGCUGAGGAGCGAAAGCGUGGGGAGCGAACAGGAUUAGAUACCCUGGUAGUCCACGCCGUAAACGGUGGGUACUAGGUGUGGGUUUCCUUCCUUGGGAUCCGUGCCGUAGCUAACGCAUUAAGUACCCCGCCUGGGGAGUACGGCCGCAAGGCUAAAACUCAAAGAAAUUGACGGGGGCCCGCACAAGCGGCGGAGCAUGUGGAUUAAUUCGAUGCAACGCGAAGAACCUUACCUGGGUUUGACAUGCACAGGACGCCGGUAGAGAUAUCGGUUCCCUUGUGGCCUGUGUGCAGGUGGUGCAUGGCUGUCGUCAGCUCGUGUCGUGAGAUGUUGGGUUAAGUCCCGCAACGAGCGCAACCCUUGUCUCAUGUUGCCAGCGCGUUAUGGCGGGGACUCGUGAGAGACUGCCGGGGUCAACUCGGAGGAAGGUGGGGAUGACGUCAAGUCAUCAUGCCCCUUAUGUCCAGGGCUUCACACAUGCUACAAUGGCCGGUACAAAGGGCUGCGAUGCCGUGAGGUGUAGCGAAUCCUUUAAAGCCGGUCUCAGUUCGGAUCGGGGUCUGCAACUCGACCCCGUGAAGUC